AGCCUGGGCUACAUAGUGACCCUGUCUCAAACAAACUAAUGUGUCUUGACCACCAUUUGAAAAAAUAAAAUCGGGGAAUGUGGGGUGCAUUGUGGGUGGUAAGGAUAAGAUUCCCUCGUGAGGUACACAAGGCAAUCAAAACACACCGGGAAGAGUUAGGGUUGUGGUUUAAAAUGUACCACAGUAGAAGGCACACUGCCACGAAUCCACUUCAAAAUCCUACCGCUCUCCCAGCACUAGGGAGGCUGAGACAGGAGGAUUGCUGCGAGUUCCACACCGGUCUGGAUUACAAAAACCCUGUCAUUAAAAAAAAAACAAAAUUUUUUUUCAAGCAGUGGCAAAGUUUAUUUUAAAAAGUAAAAGUGAAGAGAGAGAGAGAAAUGUGCAGAGCAAGCCUGGGCCAAGUAAGAGAGGAAAAAGCGGGGUAAAGGAGCGCCCAAGAAAGCAGGGUGGGUGGUGGCAGGGAAGCCAUGGCAAACAAUAUGAAACGUUUUCAGAAAUCUCACUUUGAGUGGCCGACCCCACGGUCUCGAUGCUGUGUGAAGCCGCUCUGGGGCCCGCUCUCCGAGCUUGAGACCCUCAGGAAAGGGCGCUCCAGAGCUGCGGCAGGAAGCGGCAGAGCCGUGGGCGAGCAUGCUGAGGGAUUUGGGAAGCUGCAUCUUGGUAGUGAGUUCUAAAGAUGUAAACACUCCCGUGUUUUGUGCUCGCAGCUCGUAGUUGUCUGCUGAUGCGUACGUCUGAGAAUCUCUGGACUGGACGCCAGAUGUGUUUCUGCAUCGCUGCCUAAGUGAGCACAGCACAGAUGUGCUUUUGGCCCUGCGUGUCCGUUCACCUCUCUGCUUCCUGAGCUGGAUGACAAACCGCAGCUCACGGAGCUGGGCCAGGCCGAUUCAGACACCUGUCCACGGCCGUCGGGUGGGGUGGGACUCGUGCCUGGGCCUCCGUCCCCCGGGGGCUUCUCCCUGGGCACUGGCCUGCACAACAGCAGUAGCCGUGGCCGGGGGUGAGUGAGUGAGUACUGUGCACCAAGCACGGCGUGUUGCUGGCAGGGAGGGGUACCGUGGCUGGUGUCUUGCUCCUUUUGGGUGGAUCUUCAGAGCCAGGUGACGGCUGAGGCCAGUGCUUCAUGUACCACCCUCUGCCUUGAGCCCGGAAGUUUCAAUUUAAUUCUUAAAAACUGUUGCAGCAACCUGACAGGGUAAUUUUAUGUCUGUGGAAUGUAGUAAUAGAAACAUUGGCUUAAAUGUUUCUCUUAAAAGUGUCCCGAAAUUUUUAUUGUAUUUUUGUAAAAAUACCAGCCCGAGAUGGAUUAAAAACAAGAACACACUGAUCCUCCACCACAGGUCAUGUGAGACGCCUUGGCGGAGGCCAACAAAGCCAACGCCCGUGUCCCUUGAGGCCCUUGAAUGCUUUUCCAGUGCUAGGGGUCACAGCUGUCCCUGGAAGGGGCAGGUUGCUGGAUGUGGCCCCCAGCGGCAGGGAAGGGGUUACUGCGUCCUCUGCGGUACUUGGAGAGCCUCCCAGCCUGGCCAUAGCUCCCCUGGUCUUGGGGCAGGCUGGGGGACAAGCUGCUGGCAGCGGGUGCUCCGAGCUGGAAUUCCCAGGGCCACGUGCCAGCGGAGCGUCUCAGGAGUCGAGUGUUUCCUCACGUCCUGCUUUGUCCUCCCAACAAGCGGCUUGUCCGGCUCCUCGCAACACGUGACUGUGGAAUGCACCCUCUGGAGAAAUACGCCUGUGGUUUUCACCCUGAGCACAGUGGAAAUGUUUGAGAAUUGCACAGAUGAUGCUAGUAAUAAAAGCUGACCGUGUGUGC
Long non-coding RNA from Chinchilla lanigera (long-tailed chinchilla), 1813 nucleotides. RefSeq lists it as uncharacterized. The transcript has 2 exons. The record is from RefSeq and is a predicted model, not a curated record. NCBI's taxonomy places the organism in Eukaryota, Metazoa, Chordata, Mammalia, Rodentia, Chinchillidae.